This 543-nucleotide ribosomal RNA is filed under the name uncultured bacterium. Its description in RNAcentral is "bacterial SSU rRNA". It matches the Rfam family "Bacterial small subunit ribosomal RNA", at positions 777 to 1318 of the family's 1533-position model. The record is from RNAcentral.
AAUAGAUACCCAGGUAGUCCACGCCGUAAACGAUGGGUACUAGGUGUCUGGGGGAGCGACCCCCUGGGUGCCGGCGCUAACGCAUGAAGUACCCCGCCUGGGGAGUACGGCCGCAAGGCUGAAACUCAAAGGAAUUGACGGGGGCCCGCACAAGCGGUGGAGCAUGUGGUUUAAUUCGACGCAACGCGAGGAACCUUACCUGGGCUUGACAUGCUGGAGAAAGCUUCCGGAAACGGGAGCCCCUCUUCGGAGUUCCAGCACAGAUGCUGCAUGGCUGUCGUCAGCUCGUGUCGUGAGAUGUUGGGUUAAGUCCCGCAACGAGCGCAACCCUCACCCUUAGUUACCAGCGGGUAAAGCCGGGGACUCUAGGGGGACUGCCGGUGCCAAACCGGAGGAAGGUGGGGAUGACGUCAAGUCAUCAUGGCUCUUACGUCCAGGGCUACACACGUGCUACAAUGGAUCAGGCAGAGGGUCGCCAACUCGCGAGAGUGAGCCAAUCCCCAAACUGGUCCUCAGUUCGGAUUGUAGUCUGCAACUCGACUA